Molecule: unclassified non-coding RNA, 681 nt
Filed under: Hevea brasiliensis (rubber tree)
Lineage: Eukaryota; Viridiplantae; Streptophyta; Magnoliopsida; Malpighiales; Euphorbiaceae
Source: RNAcentral
AUUUUAUUUUAUUUAUUUAUUUUAUUUAUUAUUUUAUUUUUAAAGGGUUUGAUUGUUUUCUAAGGAUCAAAACAUUUAUUGGGGUUUUGGUUUUGACUCCCACUAACGUAAAUGUGGUGCCAUUGUUAACCAUUGGCGAAUUGUCAGAUGUGGUUUUCUUUAUAUGUGCUGGAAUUGGGUACAACGCAUAUGAUCUAUCAAAGGGUCAUUCCCUUGUUGAGAGUAGUAUAAAAAUCAUUGAAAGGUUUUUAUUGAUUUGUUUUUCUUUUUCUUUUCAUGCUAACGUGGUGUUUUCUAUUUCUUGUUUGAUGUGGUGCUAGACCAACAGAACCAUUAUUAAAAUUUGGGAUUUCUAUUGAAGAGGCCAUUGUUGUAGCCCAUGGGCAACUUGGGCUAAUCAAGGGGCUUGCCCUGAUGUAGGAGUCCCAAAGGAUUAAUUUUCAAGGCUUAGUAAGGAGUUAUGUAGGUAAUUUGACCGGAUCCCUUAUGAAGGAAUUGAAUUUGGCUACCGUUCCUGCUAUUGGAGGAGUCGAUCCCUCUAUUGUAGAGGGCCAGGGUGUUAGUCCCAAUGUGGAAUAUCAGGCUACUAGAGCAUCACAUCUUUUGAUGGUCACUUCUAUAGCUGGCCCAAAUGUUGUUCAGCCUAGUGUUAAUAUUCCACAUUGGUUUGGGAUAGGGGUA